This 282-nucleotide unclassified non-coding RNA is filed under the name uncultured fungus. RNAcentral describes it as "partial contains small subunit ribosomal RNA, internal transcribed spacer 1, and 5.8S ribosomal RNA". The stretch from base 1 to 73 matches the Rfam family "Eukaryotic small subunit ribosomal RNA", at positions 1759 to 1831 of the family's 1831-position model. The record is from RNAcentral. Lineage: Eukaryota; Fungi.
GCAAACUUGGUCAUUUAGAGGAAGUAAAAGUCGUAACAAGGUUUCCGUAGGUGAACCUGCGGAAGGAUCAUUACCGAAUGACCUGCAUCUCGCCUUGCGCGUGCAUGCUCGUUGGCGCCUCUUGAUCUUGAUCUUGGUGCUCAUCCCUCCUGGGGUUUGGGUGCCUUUCAAGAUGUUCCUAUGCCACACACAAACUUGUCAUCGUAUGGUGUUGAACAUUUAACAUGUAAUACAACUUUCAACAACGGAUCUCUUGGCUCUCGCAUCGAUGAAGAACGCAGC